RNAcentral lists this ribosomal RNA (312 nucleotides) under Triticum aestivum (bread wheat). RNAcentral's name for it is "partial small subunit ribosomal RNA". The record is from RNAcentral. Lineage: Eukaryota; Viridiplantae; Streptophyta; Magnoliopsida; Poales; Poaceae.
AUGGCUUGUGUCGCACGCACUCUUUCCAUUCCUUUCUUGCUUGCAUUAUUCUUCGUGGCUGAGGUAUCCGGGAGCAUGAACGUAGAAUCAUACAAACCGGCUGGUGCAGAAGGAUCUGUUCCUUUAAAAGAAUGCCCAGCGAAAUGCAAGAUCCGUUGCUCAGCUACGUCACACAAGAAACCAUGCAAUUUCUAUUGUAACUACUGCUGCAAGAGGUGCCUGUGUGUUCCGUCCGGCACGGUGGGCAACAAGGAAGAAUGCCCGUGCUACAACAACUUGAAGACCCAGGAUGGCAAGCCUAAGUGCCCGUGA